GGCUGCCGACAAGGUGAUCCCCUUUCACCUUAUCUUUUCAUCCUUUGUGCUGAGAUUCUUGCACUAAAGAUAAGAGGAAAUAAGGAAAUUAGUGGUAUUGAAGUAACUCAAGUUGAGCAUAAGUUGUCACAGUUUGCCGAUGACACUUCAUUGAUUUUAGAUGGUAGUGAAAAAUCUUUAUAUGAAUCCUUAUCUGAAUUGGAAUGGUUUGCAAAAAUAUCUGGUUUA
This 228-nucleotide long non-coding RNA is filed under the name Mytilus galloprovincialis (Mediterranean mussel). The record is from RNAcentral. Lineage: Eukaryota; Metazoa; Mollusca; Bivalvia; Mytilida; Mytilidae.